This is a long non-coding RNA of Papaver somniferum (opium poppy), 4187 nucleotides long. RefSeq lists it as uncharacterized. Lineage: Eukaryota; Viridiplantae; Streptophyta; Magnoliopsida; Ranunculales; Papaveraceae. The record is from RefSeq and is a predicted model, not a curated record. The transcript is spliced from 14 exons.
CGAAAACAUGGAAAAACCGAAGAAGAAAACCCUAGGAACAAACCUAGAUUUUCUUCCUACAAACAAAUCAUCAUUAAUUUUUUCUAUUCUCUCUGCAACCUUCUUCCUCUCCUCUCCAUGUUUUAAUUCAUCAUCGUUUUUUUUUUAUAUUUAUCAUCCUGAAAACCAAAAGGAAAAAAAAAAACACUAGGAACAAACCUAGGUUUUCUUCUCUACAAAACAAAUCAUCCCUAACGAUGAUACGACGAAAAGAAAAACAACUCUUUUGUUUAUUCUCUCUUCUUAGGGUUCUAAGGAAAAGGCUUUGAAUGUUAAUGGUUUUUCCAACUAUGUCACCACCAUAACCAGCAGUAGCGCCAUUAACUCCACCGUCCACCGUCCAACACCAAUUUUUGUUUUUUCUUUUAUCCCGUUCCAAUUAUAAACCCUAAAAAUAAACCCUAAAAACAUGGUAAUGAUAAGUUAAUUUGAAUAUAGGUGUUCUCUAAUUUUUUCACUUGGGUGUUGGAAGGUAAAAUUACAUGCUACUGCAGCUCGCCGAGCAGGGAGAUGGAAGAUUAAUUUGGGUGUUGCUUCCCCUGCUGUAGGUUUAGGUUUUCUUAAUUUUGAUAUAUUCAAAGAAGACGAGAUAAAUUCCGAGCUUCCACCAGUUUCGUGUUUUUUCUUUUAUUUUUGAACUUAUUGUUCAGUUUUCUUUCCGUUAAAUCUAUAGUUGAUGCAGUCAAGUAUGAUUUGGGAUUUUAUGGAUUAACUUGCAGUGAGUCUCUUGCUUUCUGGUAAGGUCAAAACUACGAUUCCCGUUUCUUGCAAUUUUGUAAUGCAUUUCGAUUAUGUGGUGUUCUGUUUUAGGGCUACUAAUAUGUACUGAUGGUUGUAUUCGGUUUUUGGGCUUCUAAUAUAAACUGAUAGAUGAUUUUUAUGCGCAGACCUAACAACCAUUAACUUGCUUGGGUUAUCUAAAAACCUCGGAGAUACAGUUAAAUAAGUUCCCUAACAGGUUUAGCCGGACUAUGUGUAGGAUAUGGUGCAUUUCCCCUAAGCAUCAUCUAAUAUCUUUGGAGAACCAAGCAUCCUUAACAUGUGUAUGUCGCUGCUGAGAUUUCUAUGUGCAUGGCCACUGCAAAAUCCUGUGUAUCUAGAGGUCUGGGGAUUUCAAUACAAAGUAAAAAAGGUGAACGUUUUUUGCAGUUGGUACGAUUUCUUUUGUUGCUUGGAUAGGGUUGAGAAGCAUUACAAGUCCAUGGUUUCUAAUACUUUCCAUGGUAUUAGAAAUACCUUACUGGAUGUCACUAGAAAAUUACAUCAGUAAAUUGCAAUGGAUACUUUAGUGUACAAAUGUUACUGAGUGCAGAACAAGAGUCCCGGCAGAUUGUUGCAAGUGCCAAAAACACAAUAAUGAAUGUUUAAGAAUUGACAGUGUGCACGACAAGAGAGUGAAGGUGAUGAAUCUUAGUAUUCAAGAAGGAAGAAAAUAGAACCAUGAAAAUUAUAAAGAUAUCUGAUUUCGCAAAACUUUAAUGGGUUCAGUUCUUGGUGCUUGGGGUUUGAUAUCUGAUUGUUAUUUAUAUUUUAUGUGUAUAUACUUUUAUAGGCCAUAAGCUUAAUUGGGUUUAAUAUGUUCGUUCACUUCGUUGCAAGGGAAAACAAAUGAAAAUAAGACAGUAAAUGAUUAUGAGAUGGAUAGUGGAAUGAUGUUGGAAUAGCCAACAAGCCUUUUCCUGCAUCCAUGUUUCAUAGAUUACCAACAAGGUAAUUAUUCCUUCUACCUGGUCCCCAAUUUCUUUUAUACGAAUCACAUGAUUUACGUUUAUAUUUCUUAAAUUGUUGAUGCUUACUGUGAUUCCAAGAAGAAAAUUGAUUCAGCUUUAUGCAAAGUCAGUUCUAAUGAUGGUAGGGUAGACUUGGUAUGUAGUACCUAAAAAUAUUGGUUUUCUCUAUGUUUAGAUUUGGGAAGUCAAAUUACAUAUUAGCUUCCAUACUAAUCCAUGAAUGAGGUUUACUGUCAUUACAUGAACAUGGUUUUGAGUCACUUUGGUUCUGAAAAUCUGAAAAGAAAGCUAAGAUGUAAUACAUGGGGCGCAAAGAGAAUUACCGUUGUUGGAUAAUCAGGAAAGCAUAGAUUUAAAAGAAGCCAUAAUGAAGCUAGAGUAGGCUGUAAAUAAAGCGAAUGGUUAACUGGGUAAGCCUGAGAAUUUCCCAACCCCCACCAGUGCUAAACAUUAGCGGGACCAAGGAUUACCAGCAAUUCGAUUCUCUGGAGCAACAGAAGUGUUAUAAGAAAGUAGCAGAAGGUGGAUUCUUUGAGCAACGAGUUUGUGCAGUAACUACUAAAAGCCACACUGAAAAGGGGUUGGAGUAGAAAGUAGUAGAGGGGGAUGUAAGUAUUAGUCGAGAUUGGGGAAGCCAUAAAAGUGGAUUGAGGGGGAUUUUGCCCGAAUACAUUUUGGAUUGUCGAUGGAGUUCAACAUUGAGGCACUCUUGACUAUUUAUUUGGUAUCACUGGUUUUACAGUUCUUCCGAUGAAUAUUGCUUUGGCGCCUUGAUAUACGUAUUAGAGGCUGUGAAUGUAAAGGAUUUUAUUAGUCUGUAUCACCUGCUAUUUGGUGGGCAGGCACUAAGAAACUUUUCUAUAUUUGGAUUUGUAUGAUUUGGUUCAUGUUUUCGCAGUUACGGUCUAUGACUCAUUUUUUGCUGGUGUUAUUUUUACCUUGGCUACUGCUGAUAAUCCCGACUUCUUAAUUUUUCAUGGACAUUAGAGUUGGCAGUAGUUGCAAGGGCAAGUUGAAUCAAUGGCAACAUCGUGUUCGGGAUCAGGAUGUGAGGCGACGACAAAAUUUCAGGUUGAGACUGAGUUGGAGUGUGAGAAUCAAGAUACUAUGUGAUUCUGGAAACUUCGGUUUUGGGCGUGACUUCCUGGUGCAUAAGAGUUUCCAGUAUUACAUCGCUUAUUGGUUUCUCAUAUUAUAUGAAUACUAAGUCCCCGAGCCUCAUGUUGAAAUGUUUUUCUACCAGGUUUGCCAAUUUGAUUAGAUGUAUGUGUGUUCUCAUGGGAAUGUGAAACUCCCAUUCCAGAGAUAUCGUAACUCCUAAUAUCACUUCCCAUGGAGUAUUGUUCAUGAAAAUUUAGGAAAGAAAAACAGAAGGUGGAAACUUCGACAACCUGAGAUGAACAAAAAUGUUAAGGUGGAAACUUCGAUGAAAGGUGGAAACUUCGACAACCUGAGAUGAGCAUCCAUUCGAAGGUGUCCAUACUAAGGUCAUCAAAGACAAUGAUAGGGAAGAGAAGUAAUUUAGGAAAUUUUCUUCUCCUUGACAUCUGGAGAAGAAUGACAAACCAGUUGAUCCAAGGGAUGGAUUAUGUGCCUGAGCUGGUGAUUUAAAUGAUGUACUUGUAUUUUUGUUCACUUAAUAUUUUGAUCUCCAUGAAAGGUAUGUGCUAACUCUUUCAGUGCAGAUGGAUAAUGCUUUAAUUGAUGAUCAGUGGACUUCAGUCAGACUGUUUCUAAGUUGUGGUCUCAAUACAGGCGUAAAGAGCAUCAAGCUGGUAAAGGUUGAGAUACCACUGCCGACUUUGAUGGUGUUGUAGAUAAUAAAAGUAACAUAGACCUCAUGCAAUGAUUUUCCAUAGGGGGAUGUUGAAUGUGGACGAGCUUCUGAACCUCCAACUGUUAUCCCUGACAAGUUGAAGGAAGAUUGAACUGAUGCGCUACAAGAAGCAUUUGGGAGGAAGUAUGAAUGGAAGUUCAUGAAUUUUCUUGAGUUUUGGACAAGUGUUGUCUGUGCAUACAGUUCUGAACCUGACUUCCGGCCCCUGGUUUAUCCCUUUGCUCAAUCACAUUGUUGCUCCUUUCGGUACUUUGAUUCCUGGAUUUUUACUGACGAUGAACAACCAUCUAGAUCAAAGCGUACUAUGGAUUCCGGUGAUGAUGUCCACGCGGUUUUUGGAAUUGAUGCGCAGUUUCUCAUUAAGAAAUGCACACACUAUGAAAUUUGAAUAACACAUUAGUAGUUUGUUCUUUUCCCUGUUUUCUGAGGUAGUUCAAUUAGUUAGGACAGCCAAUAUGUUAGAAUUCCAUGUUUCUUAAUGCUUGCACUGUGCAGUGGAACUAUCAUUCAUCUAUUGCAGUCCAAUUAUUCUGCCAGUUCUACAAUGUUAUGCAUUGUUUCCCUAUUUAAUAGGUUCUACA